CCUGGCUCCACCCUUGUGAAGUGAAAUCUGCCAGGUGGGGAUCAUAUGACCAUUGCUAUAUAAGAAGCAUGAGGAGAGUUUGAGGUUCAGGUUAUUUAGGGUGCUUUUUCUCUUGUGGUGAAGCCUGUGUUCCCCAGUAAGCUGCUUUCUCUUCAUGUUUUCUACCAUCUCUGUGAAAUGGGUUUAAAGCCUCUAUGAGCUAGCUACGUUGGCAGUGCCUUCUCAGUACAGUAAAACCCUCAUGGUGCGACUUCACUGUGAAGCAGUUUGGCAGUGACUCAAGUUCAGAAGCUGGCAGGCCUUACCUGGGACCCUCUACCCCACACAACCCUGGACGGCCCCUGAACAAAAGGAAAGCAAGAACAUGUCACAUGAUGCCAUCACACAGCACACUAAUUAUCAUGCAUCCCUAGCAUGUGAAAUAGAAAAGAGAUGGUGAUUUCCUUCAGUGGAAGCAGCAUUCUUUCUCUGGAACCAUGACCUUGUAGCCAUCAGAAACUGUAACUUGAAUAUGUUUUGCAUGUGGCAAACCUAUGUAAAUGGCUCGGAACUAGUUGCUGAAUGCCUCUUAAGAUGUG
RNAcentral lists this long non-coding RNA (578 nucleotides) under Anas platyrhynchos platyrhynchos (common mallard). RNAcentral's name for it is "lncRNA (ENSAPLG00000022936.1)". The record is from RNAcentral. Lineage: Eukaryota; Metazoa; Chordata; Aves; Anseriformes; Anatidae.